GAGUUUGAUCCUGGCUCAGGAUGAACGCUGGCGGCGUGCUUAACACAUGCAAGUCGAACGAAGCACCUGGAUUUGAUUCUUCGGAUGAAGAUCCUUGUGACUGAGUGGCGGACGGGUGAGUAACGCGUGGGUAACCUGCCUCAUACAGGGGGAUAACAGUUAGAAAUGACUGCUAAUACCGCAUAAGACCACAGGGUCGCAUGACCUGGUGGGAAAAACUCCGGUGGUAUGAGAUGGACCCGCGUCUGAUUAGGUAGUUGGUGGGGUAACGGCCUACCAAGCCGACGAUCAGUAGCCGACCUGAGAGGGUGACCGGCCACAUUGGGACUGAGACACGGCCCAAACUCCUACGGGAGGCAGCAGUGGGGAAUAUUGCACAAUGGGGGAAACCCUGAUGCAGCGACGCCGCGUGAUCGAAGAAGUAUUUCGGUAUGUAAAGCUCUAUCAGCAGGGAAGAAAAUGACGGUACCUGACUAAGAAGCACCGGCUAAAUACGUGCCAGCAGCCGCGGUAAUACGUAUGGUGCAAGCGUUAUCCGGAUUUACUGGGUGUAAAGGGAGCGUANACGGCUGUGUAAGUCUGAAGUGAAAGCCCGGGGCUCAACCCCGGGACUGCUUUGGAAACUAUGCAGCUAGAGUGUCGGAGAGGUAAGUGGAAUUCCCAGUGUAGCGGUGAAAUGCGUAGAUAUUGGGAGGAACACCAGUGGCGAGGGCGGCUUACUGGACGAUGACUGACGUGAGGCUCGAAAGCGUGGGGAGCAAACAGAUGUAGAUACGCUGGUAGUACACGCCGUAAACGAUGACUACUAGGUGUCGGGGAGCAAAGCUCUUCGGUGCCGCAGCAAACGCAAUAAGUAGUCCACCUGGGGAGUACGUUCGCAAGAAUGAAACUCAAAGGAAUUGACGGGGACCCGCACAAGCGGUGGAGCAUGUGGUUUAAUUCGAAGCAACGCGAAGAACCUUACCUGCUCUUGACAUCCCGGUGACCGGCAUGUAAUGAUGCCUUUUCUUCGGAACACCGGUGACAGGUGGUGCAUGGUUGCCGUCAGCUCGUGUCGUGAGAUGUUGGGUUAAGUCCCGCAACGAGCGCAACCCUUAUCUUCAGUAGCCAGCAUUUCAGGUGGGCACUCUGGAGAGACUGCCAGGGAUAACCUGGAGGAAGGUGGGGAUGACGUCAAAUCAUCAUGCCCCUUAUGAGCAGGGCUACACACGUGCUACAAUGGCGUAAACAAAGGGAAGCAAACCUGUGAGGGUAAGCAAAUCUCAAAAAUAACGUCUCAGUUCGGAUUGUAGUCUGCAACUCGACUACAUGAAGCUGGAAUCGCUAGUAAUCGCGAAUCAGCAUGUCGCGGUGAAUACGUUCCCGGGUCUUGUACACACCGCCCGUC
Molecule: ribosomal RNA, 1387 nt
Filed under: uncultured bacterium
Lineage: Bacteria
Description: bacterial SSU rRNA
Rfam family: Bacterial small subunit ribosomal RNA
Source: RNAcentral